AACGCUAGCUACAGGCUUAACACAUGCAAGUCGAGGGGCAGCGCAGUGUAGCAAUACAUGGGCGGCGACCGGCGCACGGGUGCGUAACGCGUAUCCAACCUUCCCGUUACUCAGGGAUAGCCUUCCGAAAGGGAGAUUAAUACCUGAUGGUGUUGAAAUUCCGCAUGUUAUUUCAACUAAAGAUUUAUCGGUAACGGAUGGGGAUGCGUGACAUUAGAUAGUAGGCGGGGUAACGGCCCACCUAGUCUACGAUGUCUAGGGGUUCUGAGAGGAAGGUCCCCCACACUGGAACUGAGACACGGUCCAGACUCCUACGGGAGGCAGCAGUGAGGAAUAUUGGUCAAUGGUCGGAAGACUGAACCAGCCAAGUAGCGUGAAGGAUGAAGGUUCUAUGGAUUGUAAACUUCUUUUAUACGGGAAUAAAACCUCCCACGUGUGGGAGCUUGUAUGUACCGUAUGAAUAAGCAUCGGCUAACUCCGUGCCAGCAGCCGCGGUAAUACGGAGGAUGCGAGCGUUAUCCGGAUUUAUUGGGUUUAAAGGGAGCGUAGACGGGAGAUUAAGUCAGUUGUGAAAGGCUGCGGCUCAACCGCAGCACUGCAGUUGAUACUGGUUUCCUUGAGUUCGGUUGAGGUGUAUGGAAUUCGUGGUGUAGCGGUGAAAUGCUUAGAUAUCACGAAGAACUCCGAUUG
Molecule: ribosomal RNA, 690 nt
Filed under: uncultured bacterium
Lineage: Bacteria
Description: bacterial SSU rRNA
Rfam family: Bacterial small subunit ribosomal RNA
Source: RNAcentral